UACGUAGGGUGCGAGCGUUAAUCGGAAUUACUGGGCGUAAAGCGUGCGCAGGCGGUGAUGUAAGACAGUUGGGAAAUCCCCGGGCUCAACCUGGGAACUGCAUUUGUGACUGUAGAGCUGGAGUACGGUAGAGGGGGAUGGAAUUCCGCGUGUAGCAGUGAAAUGCGUAGAUAUGCGGAGGAACACCGAUGGCGAAGGCAAUCCCCUGGACCUGUACUGACGCUCAUGCACGAAAGCGUGGGGAGCAAACAGG
Molecule: ribosomal RNA, 253 nt
Filed under: uncultured bacterium
Lineage: Bacteria
Description: partial 16S ribosomal RNA
Rfam family: Bacterial small subunit ribosomal RNA
Source: RNAcentral